AAUGUGUGCAUGUCCCAUCCGCACGGGGAGUGAAGCUUGGUCUAUGCGCACAUCCCAUCUUGUACAGACGGGCGUCAUUCGCGCACAUCUCCUAAUGCGAAGAAGGGGACAGCUCUGCCCGCCCUAUGUGUGAGCUGUCCGCACAGUAGGCCUGCGCGGUACUCCUGCGUUUAUGGGCAUGCGAAUAAUAAGCCUGCGUGUAGUGCCCUGUGCAUUGUAGGUCCUGCGCGCGGCAAGCU
This 239-nucleotide long non-coding RNA is filed under the name Carica papaya (papaya). Its description in RNAcentral is "long non-coding RNA (CPAP_LNC001576)". Lineage: Eukaryota; Viridiplantae; Streptophyta; Magnoliopsida; Brassicales; Caricaceae. The record is from RNAcentral.